Molecule: ribosomal RNA, 496 nt
Filed under: uncultured bacterium
Lineage: Bacteria
Description: partial 16S ribosomal RNA
Rfam family: Bacterial small subunit ribosomal RNA
Source: RNAcentral
GAUGAACGCUGGCGGCGUGCCUAAUACAUGCAAGUCGAGCGAACAGAUGAGGAGCUUGCUCCUCUGACGUUAGCGGCGGACGGGUGAGUAACACGUGGAUAACCUACCUAUAAGACUGGGAUAACUUCGGGAAACCGGAGCUAAUACCGGAUAAUAUAUUGAACCGCAUGGUUCAAUAGUGAAAGACGGUUUUGCUGUCACUUAUAGAUGGAUCCGCGCCGCAUUAGCUAGUUGGUAAGGUAACGGCUUACCAAGGCAACGAUGCGUAGCCGACCUGAGAGGGUGAUCGGCCACGCUGGAACUGAGACACGGUCCAGACUCCUACGGGAGGCAGCAGUAGGGAAUCUUCCGCAAUGGGCGAAAGCCUGACGGAGCAACGCCGCGUGAGUGAUGAAGGUCUUCGGAUCGUAAAACUCUGUUAUUAGGGAAGAACAAAUGUGUAAGUAACUAUGCACGUCUUGACGGUACCGAAUCAGAAAGCCACGGCUAACUACGU